Molecule: ribosomal RNA, 274 nt
Filed under: uncultured bacterium
Lineage: Bacteria
Description: partial 16S ribosomal RNA
Rfam family: Bacterial small subunit ribosomal RNA
Source: RNAcentral
AUACGGAGGGGGCUAGCGUUGUUCGGAAUUACUGGGCGUAAAGCGCACGUAGGCGGAUUAAAAAGUUAGAGGUGAAAUCCCAGGGCUUAACCCUGGAACUGCCUUUAAAACUAGUAGUCUAGAGUUCGAGAGAGGUGAGUGGAAUUCCAAGUGUAGAGGUGAAAUUCGUAGAUAUUUGGAGGAACACCAGUGGCGAAGGCGGCUCACUGGCUCGAUACUGACGAUGAGGUGCGAAAGCGUGGGGAGCAAACAGGAUUAGAAACCCCAGUAGUCC